GAUGAACGCUGGCGGCGUGCCUAAUACAUGCAAGUCGAGCGAACAGACGAGGAGCUUGCUCCUCUGACGUUAGCGGCGGACGGGUGAGUAACACGUGGAUAACCUACCUAUAAGACUGGGAUAACUUCGGGAAACCGGAGCUAAUACCGGAUAAUAUAUUGAACCGCAUGGUUCAAUAGUGAAAGACGGUUUUGCUGUCACUUAUAGAUGGAUCCGCGCCGCAUUAGCUAGUUGGUAAGGUAACGGCUUACCAAGGCAACGAUGCGUAGCCGACCUGAGAGGGUGAUCGGCCACACUGGAACUGAGCCACGGUCCAGACGCCUACGGGAGGCAGCAGUAGGGAAUCUUCCGCAAUGGGCGAAAGCCUGACGGAGCAACGCCGCGUGAGUGAUGAAGGUCUUCGGAUCGUAAAACUCUGUUAUGAGGGAAGAACAAAUGUGUAAGUAACUAUGCACGUCUUGACGGUACCUAAUCAGAAAGCCACGGCUAACUACGUG
RNAcentral lists this ribosomal RNA (497 nucleotides) under uncultured bacterium. RNAcentral describes it as "partial 16S ribosomal RNA". It matches the Rfam family "Bacterial small subunit ribosomal RNA", at positions 28 to 507 of the family's 1533-position model. The record is from RNAcentral.